Molecule: long non-coding RNA, 3144 nt
Filed under: Cicer arietinum (chickpea)
Lineage: Eukaryota; Viridiplantae; Streptophyta; Magnoliopsida; Fabales; Fabaceae
Description: long non-coding RNA (CARI_LNC003688)
Source: RNAcentral
UUGGAAGCGUUGAGCUCACUUUUUAGAGCCAUUAUCUCAUUUUCAGAUUGACGUGUCUGCUGCAACUGAACCUUUAAAUUUCCGGAUUCAUCCAGGUAUUUAUGUCUUUCAUAUUCAGUGACUGUAAGUUUUGACUCAAGGGCAUUUAUAGUGCUUUUGAAUUUCAGUUCUCUUGAUUUGUAGUCCUCCACCAGUUUUGCCAAUUUUUCAUGUUCAGCUAUCUGCAUUUCCAUUUUAGUUUUGAAAUCAGCAAGCUCAGUUGUUUGCUCUUUCAACUUUUGUUCAUAUUGAGUCUGCAUCGUAUUGACCUCAGUCUUAAACAAAAUCACUUUAGAUUGAGCUUCUCCAAAAGCAUAUUCCAGUUUGUCUUUUUCAGCACGUAAUUCAGAUACUUCAAGCAAAGCAUUGGAAGCUAUUCUCUCUUUUUCAUCAUAGGCUGCUGAAAAUUUCAGGCUGAGGUUCUCUAUUUCUAGUUUAAGGUUCUGAAUGUCUACCAUCUUCUCCAUUUGCAACUCAUUCAAUAAGUUUUGACCCUGCGCCAUAUGUUUUUUAUUCUCAUCCAAAAUACCAUCCAUAUCUGAAGUUAAAUCCUUCUCUUUUAAUGCAAUAUCUUCCAGCAUUAGAGAAAAUUUCUUUUCUAGGAAUCCCACUCUUCCACAGCAAUCAGCAAACCUUUCACUUGAUUCCCUCAACCUGGCUCCCAUAAGGGAGCAAUUGUCCUCUAACUCCAACUUCUGCUGCCUCAAAUAUCCAUUUAGAUUCUCAAAUGAAUUGCACUCGUCUUCAGGAUUUUCAAUGGUAAUUUGUAGCUGCUGAUUUUCUCCUCUGAGAUAUUCAGAUUCUUCUUGUGCUUCUGACCAAUGAAAUUGUGUCGCCUUUAGUUUUUGUUUCAAAUCUUCUAUGGAAGAAUCCAUCUCAUACUGCAUCUCCAUAAUCUUCUCUCGGAGCCUUGCAGCUUGAUUUCUAUCAUUCUCUAGCUCUGAUAAUUGGGACUCUUGUUCGUUUGUCAAAUCUCUCACUUCAUCUUCUAAAGCAGAAACACGCAUUGACAGCUGUCCAUUUUCAUGUUCUAUAUCUGAUAUGUGGAGCAUCAUUUCAUGCGUUCUUUCUUUUAUCCUGUCAUCCAUGUGUUCCUCUAGUUGACUUUUCUCUUGUUCAAGAUGAUAAACCUUGGCUUUCAACUUGCUCAGGAGCUUCUUUAGAACCCCAAUCUCCUUUUCUUUACUUGAUGUGUCAGCCUCAUCGCUAUCCAUAUCAGAUGUUUUAUUAGUUAGAUGAGUUUGCUGCUGUAAUAAGGGUCAUGUUGAUCUUUCAGGAUUUCUCUGUCAUUCUUUAAUGACGACUUUUUUCUAUUACUGCGAACUUGAUUGGUAUUCUUAACCAUAGAAUUCUGAUAAAUCAAAGAAAGAAAAUUAUCAGUUGUGUCUUCACAAUGAUAUGUAAUUAAUGAAAAAGAGACACUUACUUUUGAAGCCUUCUGAUCAUCGUGAACAGUUUUCCUGUUUAACUUCGAAACUUGAUUUCGCUUUUGUUCCUUAAACAGUUUCAAUUCUUCUUCAAAGGCCUGAGCUUUUCUCUGAAAUUCAGCCUUUUCCUGUUCAAGUUGUUGUAUGGUCUGUUGAAGCUGGCUAUUUAUUCUUUUGAUGUUAUUGAGCUCAGUAUCAUGAUGAGCACAUCUUGUUUCUCUUGCCUUCAAGUCGUUCUCCAACUGCAUAAUCCUUUCUUCAAUGGAUGCUCUAGUUCUCUUGCAGUGCUCCAAUUCUGAUGCAGCCGUCUCCAAUCUUGAUACCUUUUGUUCCAAUGAUGUAUUCUCUGCCUUCAGAUCUUCACAUAGAUCAGAUGUCAAGCAUAAUGAGGCUUCCAGUCGUUCUUUCUCAGUAUUGGAAGCGUUGAGCUCACUUUUUAGAGCCAUUAUCUCAUUUUCAGAUUGACGUGUCUGCUGCAACUGAACCUUUAAAUUUCCGGAUUCAUCCAGGUAUUUAUGUCUUUCAUAUUCAGUGACUGUAAGUUUUGACUCAAGGGCAUUUAUAGUGCUUUUGAAUUUCAGUUCUCUUGAUUUGUAGUCCUCCACCAGUUUUGCCAAUUUUUCAUGUUCAGCUAUCUGCAUUUCCAUUUUAGUUUUGAAAUCAGCAAGCUCAGUUGUUUGCUCUUUCAACUUUUGUUCAUAUUGAGUCUGCAUCGUAUUGACCUCAGUCUUAAACAAAAUCACUUUAGAUUGAGCUUCUCCAAAAGCAUAUUCCAGUUUGUCUUUUUCAGCACGUAAUUCAGAUACUUCAAGCAAAGCAUUGGAAGCUAUUCUCUCUUUUUCAUCAUAGGCUGCUGAAAGUUUCAGGCUGAGGUUCUCUAUUUCUAGUUUAAGGUUCUGAAUGUCUACCAUCUUCUCCAUUUGCAACUCAUUCAAUAAGUUUUGACCCUGCGCCAUAUGUUUUUUAUUCUCAUCCAAAAUACCAUCCAUAUCUGAAGUUAAAUCCUUCUCUUUUAAUGCAAUAUCUUCCAGCAUUAGAGAAAAUUUCUUUUCUAGGAAUCCCACUCUUCCACAGCAAUCAGCAAAUCUUUCACUUGAUGCCCUCAACCUGGCUCCCAUAAGGGAGCAGUUGUCCUCUAACUCCAACUUUUGCUGCCUUAAAUAUCCAUUUAGCUUCUCAAAUGAAUUGCACUCGUCUUCAAGAUUUUCAAUGGUAAUUUGUAGCUGCUGAUUUUCUCCUCUGAGAUAUUCAGAUUCUUCUUGUGCUUCUGACCAAUGAAAUUGUGUCGCCUUUAGUUUUUGUUUCAAAUCUUCUAUGGAAGAAUCCAUCUCAUACUGCAUCUCCAUAAUCUUCUCUCGGAGCCUUGCAGCUUGAUUUCUAUCAUUCUCUAGCUCUGAUAAUUGGGACUCUUGUUCGUUUGUCAAAUCUCUCACUUCAUCUUCUAAAGCAGAAACACGCAUUGACAGCUGUCCAUUUUCAUGUUCUAUAUCUGAUAUGUGGAGCAUCAUUUCAUGCGUUCUUUCUUUUAUCCUGUCAUCCAUGUGUUCCUCUAGUUGACUUUUCUCUUGUUCAAGAUGAUAAACCUUGGCUUUCAACUUGCUCAGGAGCUUCUUUAGAACCCCAAUCUCCUUUUCUUUACUUGAUGUGUCAGCCUCAUCGCUAUCCAUAUCAGAUGUUU